AAUUUACCAGCCAGCGCUGGUGCAUUCGACCUCUGCGCAACGAGAUACAAUUGGUGAGCGCCGCUCUUGUUGGGCUCUGGCCAGCUCUUCGGGCAGCCGGGGGUGUCUGUCGGGAGCCCCCCGGCCGGUUCCCGGGAGGGAUGCACGGGAGGAGUCCCGGGGUCCCGGGGGACUCCUCGGCCGCUCUCCGUGGUGCUGCAGCCGCCGCCCGCGGUGCCUCCUGCGGGAGGGCAGGAUCCCCUUCCCCGGGAGCACGGCCGGCCGUGCCGCUAACUCCUCCCUUCGGAUGCAAGGGCUGCACCGCCACAAGCCAUCCUCUCGCCGCCCCCCUCCUUCUCCUUUCUCCCGUUUCGACAGAGCGAGCGGGCUUGCUCUGCCUGCGCGGCGGCGGCUGCCCACCGCGGACCCCGUGGGCUUGGGGCGGGUGCUUUAAUUUUGGCAGGACCUGCCCGCCGCCCUUCCCGGAUAAACUUGGGCCGGCGCCCCCCGGCACCGCGUUUUGGGGCUGGUGGGCUCCCGGCUGCCUGCGGGGAUGCCCAGCAUCCAAUAAUGCAAUGGCUGGAAGACCACAACGUGUCAGAUUAACUGGGUGGACACAUUGGAUAUUAGCAACAAUUCUGCUGCUGUGGAGUUACCAGAUCAGUGGACAAGCAAAUACACCAUUCUGGAAUGCAUAAUCAUUUCAAAUGUUUGCUGGGCUUUGGGAGAAAAGGUGAUCACGAUGUAGAAGAAAGAAUAUACUGAGGAUUAAAAAAGCCUGCUUGCCAAUCCACUGUUUGCUUUUACUGAAUAAACAACUUUUCAUGAUUUUUAGAAAAAUAUUU
Molecule: long non-coding RNA, 824 nt
Filed under: Anas platyrhynchos platyrhynchos (common mallard)
Lineage: Eukaryota; Metazoa; Chordata; Aves; Anseriformes; Anatidae
Description: lncRNA (ENSAPLG00000024777.1)
Source: RNAcentral